RNAcentral lists this unclassified non-coding RNA (233 nucleotides) under Glomeromycotina sp. RNAcentral describes it as "partial contains 5.8S ribosomal RNA and internal transcribed spacer 2". The stretch from base 1 to 71 matches the Rfam family "5.8S ribosomal RNA", at positions 84 to 154 of the family's 154-position model. The record is from RNAcentral. Lineage: Eukaryota; Fungi; Glomeromycota.
GUGAAUCAUCAAAUCUUUGAACGCAAAUUGCACUCCCUGGUAUUCCGGAGAGUAUGCCUGUUUGAGGGUCAGUUUAAAUAUAAAUCGGAGUGGUUGCUGCCUUGCGUGGUGACGCACCGGAUUUGGGUUGUCUUGCCUUCGGUUUAUUUACUUAAAAUUUUACAUGAUUUUUUUCGAUCGUCUUUAAAUUAUUUUACGUACGUUUGUGAUAUCGACUACUCGCUUUGGCCACC